RNAcentral lists this transfer RNA (72 nucleotides) under Camelus bactrianus (Bactrian camel). It matches the Rfam family "tRNA". Rfam says of the family: Transfer RNA (tRNA) molecules are approximately 80 nucleotides in length. Their secondary structure includes four short double-helical elements and three loops (D, anti-codon, and T loops). The record is from Rfam by way of RNAcentral. RNAcentral also lists the same sequence under 2 other names. Lineage: Eukaryota; Metazoa; Chordata; Mammalia; Artiodactyla; Camelidae.
GAGAGUAUAGUUCAGUGGUAGAAUGUGUGCUUAGCAUGCAUGAGGCCCUGGGUUCAGUCCCCAGUACUUCCU